CGGAGGAAGCAGGUCCCUGGGCUGAGCUCAGCGUGGGGAGAGGAAGGAAAACCUCUCCCUCAUUUUGGCCAGGGCAGAAGGGGUUGAAAAGGGCCAGGUUCCUCCCUGUGCAUUGGUGACCUCUAUGCCGGAGUGAGCUAGGAGGUUUGGUAUCCAGCCUUACGCAGCGGCUGGUGCUCGGCCGGCGGGGAUAGGCGCCGCGGACGGCGUGCACCUGGGCGUAGGGAUGGCUAACUUGAGGUGCAGAGCAACGGCCCAGCUGGUGCAAGCAGUUGGCAGUGGACAGAAUGAGUGAGAAGUGACAUACAAGAACUUGAGUUGGGACACAGGUUCUGCCUUCAUCACAGGUACAACUCAGCCCCCCUUGGCCCCUCACCGUCCCUGUCCCAGGGAUGUGGCACCAGGUCCUGCCCCCGCGGCGCCCUGCAGCCGGCCGCACUGGCACGCAGCAGCCUCCGUCCCAGCUGGAUGCGGUGAUGCUCCUACCAGAGCAGCAUGCAGCAGUGAGGCCUGUCAGCAGAGAUCAGACUUUAAAAGCUCAGAAGACCCCACUGCCGCCUUCUAGGAGUUUAUAAAAUCCGUCCUGGUUCAUACCUGUUGUUGUUUUAAACCCAUUCCUUUUUGCGGAAUGACUCAGCUCAAGAAAGAAAAGCAGUUAUUUUUUGGCU
This is a long non-coding RNA of Grus americana (Whooping crane), 668 nucleotides long. RefSeq lists it as uncharacterized. NCBI's taxonomy places the organism in Eukaryota, Metazoa, Chordata, Aves, Gruiformes, Gruidae. The transcript has 3 exons. The record is from RefSeq and is a predicted model, not a curated record.